Molecule: small nuclear RNA, 106 nt
Filed under: Suricata suricatta (meerkat)
Lineage: Eukaryota; Metazoa; Chordata; Mammalia; Carnivora; Herpestidae
Source: RNAcentral
GUGCUCGCUUUGGCAGCACAUAUACUAAAACUGGAAUGAUACAGAGUAGAUUAGCAUGGUCCUGCACAAGGAUGGCAUGCAAAUUCAUGAAGUGUUCCAUAUGUUU